CCUACGGGAGGCAGCAGUGGGGAAUAUUGGGCAAUGGAGGCAACUCUGACCCAGCAACGCCGCGUGAUUGAUGAAGGUCUUCGGAUUGUAAAGUUCUGUGAUGGGGGAUGAACACAAUGACGGUACCCCAAUAGCAAGCCACGGCUAACUACGUGCCAGCAGCCGCGGUAAUACGUAGGUGGCAAGCGUUAUCCGGAAUGACUGGGCGUAAAGGGGGCGUAGGGGGUUUAGUAAGUUGGCGGUGUAAUUCCGGGGCUCAACCUCGGCGCUACCGCCAAAACUAUUAGACUAGAGUGCAGGAGGGGGAAGUGGAAUUCCUAGUGUAGCGGUGGAAUGCGUAGAUAUUAGGAGGAACAUCAGGGGCGAAGGCGACUUACUGGACUGUAACUGACACUGAGGCACGAAAGCGUGGGGAGCAAACAGGAUUAGAUACCCUAGUAGUC
Molecule: ribosomal RNA, 443 nt
Filed under: uncultured bacterium
Lineage: Bacteria
Description: partial 16S ribosomal RNA
Rfam family: Bacterial small subunit ribosomal RNA
Source: RNAcentral